CUUUGGGCCACUGAACUAGAGUUGCUAAGUAGUUCUUAGUUGCUGAGUAGUUCUAGUAGUUCUAGAGUUGCUAAGUAGCUCAACCCACAUCUCCUUCUAUGGGAAUCUUCUCCCGUAGGCUGUUCCAUUCUGAAGAGCCCCCUCACCCCCCUCCACAACACACAACCGAAUGAAUUAUGGUUGAGUUUCUGUCCCAAGAACAGAACUUCUGUUGGUCCCUGGGCGACCUCUGAAUGGUGUGGUCGCUGGAAAGGAAGGAGGUCAGCCAAUCAAAUCUCUCUGGAGAACGUGCUCUCGAAAGGACACCAAGUCGGAAACGUGAAAGAGAAUCUGUACCUUGAACGUAAGACAGGAGAGUCUCCUUGCUCAGGCUCAGGAAGAUUAGGCCAGCAGCCCUCACACCAGCCUCAGGAUGAGUCUCCCACUGCCCUCAGGGCUAGUCCUGGACUCCCCAGUGACACCCUGGCUACAGUGCUCCUCAUUUCUGCUCUGGUCCCACACAGUGGAGGUCACAUAAUCCUCCUCCACGGGGCCAACCCAAAGCAGACAUCCCCACACACGCUUGGGCUGAUCCAGGCCCCAGGCUACUAGUCAAUAGAUUGUGUGGAAGAGAAACACCUUGUAAAGUUCAUUCUUGAGGCUUCCCUGCAGCAGGAGUAGCUGCAGAAGUCAGAUGGAGUGAGAAGGCAGAGCGCUCGGGUCAUGGUCAUACCAGCCGUGUGACCUUGCACAGAUCGGCCAAUUGCUCUCAUCCACGGUGUCUUCAUCUGUGAAGGAGGGAUUACAAACUUUGCCCAGCUUACCUCGGGGUUAUUAUGAGGGGGUGCAAUGAGCUGGGGUUUAUGGAAACGCCCUGGAAGCCUGCUGGCCCUUGUUCAGACGUAUGUCUUUGGCAGUGCGAUAAAGAAUCGGGAAGAAGUUAUGCCAGCUAUGGGAAAGUUUCCAGGCUGUGUCUGCUCUUAUUGUAGUAACAAACCCUGUUCCCGACAGAAGCACGAGAUCCCAUAAGGUAAGUCCAUGGUGGGGGGGGGGGGGAGUUAAGAAACUGGAAAACGACUCUGCCUUAUGGCACUUGUCCAAGUGAAAAUUCUAGGAGCGCAAAUAAUGAUGGAAAAUAAACUUCCCCUUGCUUUUAAUUUCA
This 1141-nucleotide long non-coding RNA is filed under the name Felis catus (domestic cat). RNAcentral's name for it is "lncRNA (ENSFCAG00000053459.1)". Lineage: Eukaryota; Metazoa; Chordata; Mammalia; Carnivora; Felidae. The record is from RNAcentral.